AGCGAACGCUGGCGGCAGGCUUAACACAUGCAAGUCGAGCGCAUCACUUCGGUGGUGAGUGGCAGACGGGUGAGUAACACGUGGGAACGUACCCUUCGAUCUGGGAUAACUUCGGGAAACUGGAGCUAAUACCGGAUACGCCCUUUUGGGGAAAGGUUUACUGUCGAAGGAUCGGCCCGCGUCUGAUUAGCUAGUUGGUGGGGUAACGGCCUACCAAGGCGACGAUCAGUAGCUGGUCUGAGAGGAUGAUCAGCCACACUGGGACUGAGACACGGCCCAGACUCCUACGGGAGGCAGCGGUGGGGAAUAUUGGACAAUGGGCGCAAGCCUGAUCCAGCCAUGCCGCGUGAGUGAUGAAGGCCUUAGGGUUGUAAAGCUCUUUUGUCCGGGACGAUAAUGACGGUACCGGAAGAGUAAGCCCCGGCUAACUUCGUG
Molecule: ribosomal RNA, 435 nt
Filed under: uncultured bacterium
Lineage: Bacteria
Description: partial 16S ribosomal RNA
Rfam family: Bacterial small subunit ribosomal RNA
Source: RNAcentral